RNAcentral lists this long non-coding RNA (553 nucleotides) under Homo sapiens (human). RNAcentral describes it as "non-protein coding lnc-BZW1-1:2". The record is from RNAcentral. Lineage: Eukaryota; Metazoa; Chordata; Mammalia; Primates; Hominidae.
AUUAGAAUGUUGGUGGUUGUGUAGUGCAUUUGGGGUGCUACAACGUUAAUCAAAUAUAAUUGAGCUGUUCUGUUUCCAGUCAGUGUAACCAUUUAAAAAUACCUUGGCAAAACAAGCUAGGAGCUAGUUCAUGCUAAUAUUCUUAAGGACAAAAAUAGUUUACAGCUUUUUUUUUUUUAAUCUGAAAUCCUGAAGGCUAUGCUUAAAAGUUAGAGAUAAACCUGUUGGAAAUAAGUGAUUCAUUUAUAGACUGAAGCCUCUAUGACUUCAAAAAGAUACUCAACAGUCUCUGGCAUUUGAAGAACAAAAUAUUUUCUCUGUAAAUACACCUCAUUUCCAUUCUAGUUAGGAGCAAUGGCGCCCAGGACGGCACACAGAAUGGAGAAAACUGGAUAGCUGGUAACUCAUUUAGCUCUUGGCACUCUAAAAAACCUCAAAUACAGCCAUCCAAGCCAGUAAUUCUAUUGCUGCGUUAUUUCUGUGUUUAACUGUGAAACUUGCUUCUUGUCUGUACCCUUGAAAUGGAAUAAAAUUUCAUGAGACUCCUUGUUAA